RNAcentral lists this transfer RNA (63 nucleotides) under Nigidius miwai. RNAcentral's name for it is "tRNA-Thr". The record is from RNAcentral. Lineage: Eukaryota; Metazoa; Arthropoda; Insecta; Coleoptera; Lucanidae.
GUUUUAAUAAUUUAAAAAAAAAUACUAGUCUUGUAAACUAGAAAUAAGAUUUCUUUUAAAACU